Long non-coding RNA from Neopelma chrysocephalum (saffron-crested tyrant-manakin), 454 nucleotides. RefSeq lists it as uncharacterized. NCBI's taxonomy places the organism in Eukaryota, Metazoa, Chordata, Aves, Passeriformes, Pipridae. The transcript has 3 exons. The record is from RefSeq and is a predicted model, not a curated record.
GGAGGGAGGGAGCGGGAGAGCGGCGCUGGCGAGGAGGAGCCGCCGCCUCAUCCUGCGGCACCGGCCCGGCGAGCGCAGGUGGCAGUGUAGAAGCCAAGAACAAAAAUUGGCAGAAAUUGUAUUCUGUGUGCGAGAAUAUGAAGAGUGUACUCAUGACUAAGCACAGAAACCUGGAAAACCACAGGCUUCGGUCAGGUGAUCCCUGAUGAGUAGUCAGCCCACCAAGAAGGCACUUCAGCACACAGGUAAGUGAGAAGCCGUAUACUCUUUAAUGCAACUGGGGGGUCCAGGGGAGAAGAUAAACAGCCUAACAUUGUUUGAAUAGUUUAAAAAAAAUAUUCCUGACUUGCUUGGGUGUGUAACAUUGUGAUUGUCUGUUUCAAUGCUGCUACUUCUGCUAUUCAGUGUUGUUCUUGAUUUUUUUUUUAAAAUCUGUCUUUAAUUAGAAGCCUUA